This 18793-nucleotide long non-coding RNA is filed under the name Oryza sativa (Asian cultivated rice). RNAcentral describes it as "long non-coding RNA (OSAT_LNC001293)". The stretch from base 11150 to 11353 matches the Rfam family "MIR812 microRNA precursor family". The record is from RNAcentral. Lineage: Eukaryota; Viridiplantae; Streptophyta; Magnoliopsida; Poales; Poaceae.
AGGCUGGUAGCACAACAAUCUCACUACCAGGCCAUUAGUAUUGUUCAAGCGAUUGUGCAACAGCUACAACUGCAGCAAUUUAGUGGUGUCUACUUUGAUCAGACUCAAGCUCAAGCCCAAACUCUGUUGACCUUCAACUUGCCAUCCAUAUGUGGUAUCUACCCUAACUACUAUAGUGCUCCCAGGAGCAUUGCCACUGUUGGUGGUGUCUGGUACUGAAUUGUAACAAUAUAAUAGUUCGUAUGUUAAAAAUAAAGUCAUACAUCAUCAUGUGUGACUGUUGAAACUUAGGGUCAUAUAAAUCUAAAUAAAAUCAUCUUACCUAUUUAAAUAGCAUUCCUCUAUGAGGAUAAAUCCUAUUACAUUAUCGUAGCUAAUUACCAUCACAGGGACUUUACAAUUUUACUAUAUGCAUGCAUUUGAUCCUAAGCUGCUUUGGCUAUUAGAUAUAAAUGAAGUGCAUUAAGCAAGUUCAACCUUUCAUUCCCAAUAGGAACGAACUUGAAGCACAGAUGUCAAUUACUAUACCCCUAACAAUUGAUACACUAUAGCAGCGGUUGUAGCCGCAGCUGGAGGAUUCGCUGUCGAGCAGACCAUAUACCUGAAUUUAAACCAUGUCAAAUAUCCGUAAUGAAUAACAAAUAAUUUUAUAUUGUGCAUAUCCAAUGAAUAAUCAAACAUUUGCCUUUCGACUGUAAUGCUUGCAUGGCCUGCUAUUGUAUUGCUCUGGAAACACAUCUUUAACAGAUGUUGUAUUAUCACAUACAUUACAUUGGAGGAGAAGGAUUUAAGUGAUCAUAUAUAGAACAGAGGAUAUGAUGUUUUAGAAAAAAGAAGAUUAAUAAUGUCAAGAAUACUUUGUGAAACAGUGCAUGAUGCAGGCACAUCACUUGAUACAUUAAAAGCGCUGUAAAAAAUUUAUGCUGGGGAACUAAUGCACUACUACUAGCCUCACUAAUAUCAUCAGUUCGCGGUAUGUAACAAGCUAACAUUCUACACUGCACCACCCCAUCCAUUCUUGCUUUUUUCUAUAGAACACAAGAAGGAACAUCAGUAACUGGAUGCAUGUGUGCACCGCCAGCUGCCACAGUGUUGGCCAUUAUCUCUUUCUUCAAGGCAUUUCUUCCCAUCAACUCCUGCUUGACACAAGCAGGACAAAAAUGUAGCUUUGGUUAAGUCAAGGGGAGUCAGUCCAGCUAUAGAUGAACCAGCGCCCUUAUUAUUGUGAUUACUGCCCUAGCUCACACACCGGAAAUGGACUCAAAUCUUAAAGGCAUGUGAGCUUCUAACGAGCCCACAUUCCAUCUAGGUAACAUGAUAUAUUGUAAGGCUCUAUUUUUUUCAGAUUAUUAAAAUGGAUUAUUUGCUCCAUGCUUUAAAAUAUAUGUUUGCUCCAUAUUCUAAGUCAAGUAUUUUAUUUAGGGUAAUUAUUUUGAUCCUAGAGGAGACAUCCUAGGAUUUCUCUAAACAUCAUGAAAAUAGUUAUAGUAAAGAAAUUUCGUAAUAUUUAUGUGGUGUACAUAUUCCACCCUCACAAAUUAAUUUUCAAGUUAAGCUCAGUAGCAAAUCGACAAGUAAAAAAGGACAGGUCCAGCAUAUAAACGUUCAUGUGCAAUGUACAUACGAAUUUAUUUAUUUUGUUUCUCAAUGUUCAGAUCCAAUUUAAACUUGGUUUUUUCGUUGAGUAGUAAAUUGUCAUUGUACUCUAUAUUGUCAUUUUGUUAGGGAAUCUUUCAUUACUGUGUGCACUGCAUCGAAGAGAAAAAAAGGGCGUGUAAAUGCAUAUCCUCUAUUAAAAUCCGACUUCUAUAUAUUUUGCCCCAUUUUCUCUAUAAUUUCUAGUGGUUAUUGAUUGAGAACAGCUACAAAUUACUUACUAAGCACCUUUCAUGGGCACUAUAUAACUCAUGCAAUUCUUAAGGUUUACGAAUGCGAAUACAAAUAGAAAUUCGCUGUGCCGACCUGUUUUCAAAGAUUAAAAAAUUGAAACAUCAAUCAGAAACCAUUCCAGAAUGGGCCAAAAUUUGGAAAACAAAUUUUGAAUUCCAUGGAGAAAAUUAACUGGCUGGCAAUUGCACAUUUGCACUGCUUUGCCCCUAUAAACAUCUUCGAGUAGCCAUUUCAUUAUUCCCAGUAAAAUAUUAAUACUCCUUAAUCAAGAACUGCCAUAUAGGUCAUUUCUCUUGGUACUUCAGUUCGCUCAUUUAUUUCUCAUAAUUUAAAUUUCAAAGUAAUAAGCGAUAGAUCAGGAUCCAUGAUUUGAACAUGCAACUUUAAAGUAAUGCAGUAAGAUAUAGAUCGGUGUCCAUGACUUGAACAUGCAUGAACAGUAACCCCACUCGUGAGUUAAAAAGAUAGAUCCAUGAUUUAAACAUACAUUCGCAGAUAUUUGAUCAUUAUAUGUUGUAAUUAUAUUCUCAUAAAAAAAACUAAAAAUGCUUCAUAGCAUUUGUAUAUUAUGCCAAUAUUGAGAUAAUUUCGAUAUCUCAUAUGUUUUAGAUUGGAACAGAUCACGAAAGUUUUUCUUCGAAAAGUUAUGGUCAUUAGGACAUGAUGGAUUUGAGGUAACAAAAUAGAUGAGAUUUAUUAAAACCCUUGAAAUAGUCCAACAAUCCAGCGCUAACAUUUAGCACAGUGUAAUUCAAAAGAAGACAACCACAGAAACACACAGGGGAUGUUUUAAACUCCAAUUUUUAUAUAUUUGGCAUUAUUCAAAUUGCAAACAAAUAUGAUGACUCUCUUUCUCAAAGAAACAUAUGCCGUUAGGGUGAUCCCAGCGCUUCACUUAGAAUGGUUUUUCAUAGCAUUAAAUGAUAUGCCACGUAGGAAAAAACAUGAUGUGCCAUUUUAUUAACUUAGGAAAGAGAAGAAAAUUGGGUCUUCUCAAAAUGAUCAUCAUCUAACAAAAUGUCUCUUUGUUUAUUUGUGCAAAGAGUAAAUGUGCAUCGUGCAAUGUCAUGCAUGCUGCCAACCAAGAUUAAUUUCUAUUUAGUUGAACCUGUGCAACAUUUAAAGUGUGAAGUAAUUUUUGUUGGACUUGAAGCGACAAAGCACCUUGGUCGAUUAGGCCAUCCCCAACCCAUGGUGUCCAUGGGUGGUGUCUAGAGCAGUGAGAGAUCAAUAAAUGCAUAUAUGGACACUACCUCCCCAUUGCAUCGUUUAUAUACCAGUUUUCAUAGGCAAAAAAAAAUUAGUAGCUCUUUGCAUGUAACAUUAACAGAGGAGGGUCAGCUGUGGCAAGCAAGCAAGCAGACGCGGGAGGGGAGGCGCGCAGCAGGCAUGGUGACGGGGUAGGGCGCAGCGGAUCGAGAUGCGAGGAUUUUUUUUUGGGGGGGUGGGGUGGGGGGAGAGAAACGAGUCAUCCAACCCAACGCGGAUUUAGCUAGUUUCCAGUGCCUUGGAACAGCCGCCGAAACGGUGUCGCGCAUGCGACCUGGUUUCUAUGUUUUUGCUUCUUUCUCUUCUUUUAUUCCGUUGCCACAUCAACUUUUUGUCUAGUUGGCAGCCUAAUUAAUUCUAUGGAAACCAGGUGACAUGGAGGGUUGGGGACAUGGUGGAAAAAACCGGAACGGGCCGACAGUUCAACCGGAAAAAACCAGAACCCGUUCAGUUCAAAAGAAAGACCGGACAUGCAUAUGACCCGCUUUGAACCGGCAGAACCGGUCGGUUUUUCUAUGAACCGGUCAUUAAACCGUCCCCGGUUAGACCGAACAAGCCACAAUAAUCUUGAAAUGGGCCUUGAUGUGGCCCAAUUGGUCUGCCUAGAGCGUUUUGGUUGGCAAAAAUCAAUCUCCUAUUCUCGGCACGUGUGAUAUACAAUGGUAAGUGAGAUAUACAAUUCUCGGCACGGCUACAUUACAAGGUGUCGCAUUGUGUCAAUGUUUGGUUAAUUUGCUAGAUUCACAUAAUACAUGCCAGGAAGUUCAGAACAAUGUGUUGCCUUUCACCGGAAAACUUUGUUGGAGCAAAUGCCUUCUUCUUUUUUGCUUCUGCUUCUUGAGUCCAUGUGGAGGAAGCAGUAGAUAGCUGAUGAUAUCAGGAUUCCUUCUGUGUCUGUGUAGGUGUAGCAACACCACUAUAAUUUUUAUUUAGCAACACAAUAUCAAUUUGGUCUAUAAAAGUAUGAAUUAAAUCAAUCCCCAACCACAAUUAGAGUAAGUUGGUGAGUUAUUGUAAAGCUCUGCAAAGUUAAUUUAAAAGUUAUUGCAUUAACUUAUUUCGUAUCACAAACAAGUUUUCACAAGAGUAUUAAUGGAACAAUGAAAACCAUUGAACAUACUAUAAUUUUUUUUCUUACUGAAAUUAUAUAAUUCAAAGAGCAUAAACCCACACAGUCGUAAAGUUCCACGUGUAGUGCAUUAUCAAAAUAAUAGCUUACAAAACAUAACAAACUUAGUUUCAAAAGUUGCAAUCCUUAUCACAUUGACACAUAAAGUGAGCGAUGAGUCAUGUCAUUAUUUUUUUGCUCACCAUCAUGUAUAUAUGAUGGGCAUAAAAGUUACUUUGAUGAUGAUAUCAAAGAACAUUUUUAGGUGCACCUAACAGAAUAUCCAAAUAAUAUGACUCACUUAGAUCCUAAUAUAGCAUCAAGCAAAACUAACACUCUAAAGCAACCGAUAGGGAAACAUCUAUAAAUAGACAAGCAUAAUGAAAACCCUCCUCAUCCUUCACACAAUUCAAACAUUAUAGUUGAAGCAUAGUAGUAGAAUCCUACAAAAAUGAAGAUCAUUUUCGUAUUUGCUCUCCUUGCUAUUGUUGCAUGCAACGCUUCUGCACGGUUUGAUGCUCUUAGUCAAAGUUAUAGACAAUAUCAACUACAAUCGCAUCUCCUGCUACAGCAACAAGUGCUCAGCCCAUGCAGUGAGUUCGUAAGGCAACAGCAUAGCAUAGUGGCAACCCCCUUCUGGCAACCAGCUACGUUUCAAUUGAUAAACAACCAAGUCAUGCAGCAACAGUGUUGCCAACAGCUCAGGCUGGUAGCGCAACAAUCUCACUACCAGGCCAUUAGUAGCGUUCAGGCGAUUGUGCAGCAACUACAGCUGCAGCAGGUCGGUGUUGUCUACUUUGAUCAGACUCAAGCUCAAGCUCAAGCUUUGCUGGCCUUAAACUUGCCAUCCAUAUGUGGUAUCUAUCCUAACUACUACAUUGCUCCGAGGAGCAUUCCCACCGUUGGUGGUGUCUGGUACUGAAUUGUAAUAGUAUAAUGGUUCAAAUGUUAAAAAUAAAGUCAUGCAUCAUCAUGCGUGACAGUUGAAACUUGAUGUCAUAUAAAUCUAAAUAAAAUCACCUAUUUAAAUAGCAUUCAUGUAUGAGGUUGCAUUAUCAUAGCUAAUUACCAUCACAAAGAACUUUACAAUUACUAUGUGCAUGCAUUUGAUCCUAAGCUACUUUGGCUAUUAGAUACAAAUGGAGUGUAUUAAGCAAGUCCAACUUUUCAUUCUAAUAGGAACAAACUUGAAGCACAUAUGUCAAUUACUAUAUCCCCAACAAUUGAUACACUAUAGCAGUGGUUGCAAUGGCAGCUGCAGGAAUUGCUAGUGAACCCAACAGCCCAUAUAACUGAAUUGAAGCCAUGUCAGACAUCCGUAAUGAACAACAAAUAAUUCCAAAUAGUGCAUAACCAAUAAAUACUUAAAGAUUUGUCUUUCAACACUAAUGUUUGCAUUUCAUGCAAUUGUAUUGCUCUGGAAGCACCUUUUAACAGGUUGUAUCAUCACAUGCAUUACAUUGGAGGAUAAGGAUAUAAGAGAUCAUAUAUAGAAUAGAGGAUAUGGUGUUUUAGAAAAAGAAGAUGAAGAAUAUACAUUGUGAAACAGUGCAUGAUAUAGGCACAUCACUUAAUACAUUAAAAGCACUGCCAGAAAUCUAUGUUGGUGAACAAAUGCUCACUGGUUGUCUCACUUAUAUCACCAUUCACCAAGUUCACCGUAUGUAACAAGCACUUGGCCCCAUGGUUCCCCUUACCGUUUUUGACGCGGUUACCACAUGGUUACCGCAAAAAACCGUGUGGUAACCGUGAGACAUACCGUGGUUUCAAAAACUAAAAAGGUUACCGCGUGUGAUAGCCGCGCAGUUUUGUAAACCCUGCUUGGCCCUACACCACCCCAGCCAUUAAUUCUUGUCCUUCUCUGUACAACGCAACGAGGAAAUACAUCAUGGGCAUAGGGAAUAAUUAGCAAGUUUAGCAAAAAUGAAUGGCACAAUUGUAUAGCAUGAGUGAUGAUGCAAUGAGGAAACAUAAGAACAUCAGCCAGGUGUUUCUCCCCCUCAACUCCUGCUUGUCCCAAGCAAAACAAAAAUGUAGCUUUGGUUCAGUCAAGGCGAGUCAGUCCAGCUAGAGAUUAACCACCUUAUUAUUACUAUUUUUUUAUUAUUACUACCCUAGCUUACCCAAAAAAAUGAACAUUUUUCAUUUUUAAUUUUAAAAAUAAAUCCAUCCAAAACUUAUUUUCAAGAUUUGAACAUUUGACCACGCCAACUAAACUGGCGUGUCAAAACAAUACCGUCAUGCCACUCCCGCUGGUCACACCGGCGGGGACCGACCUCACUGGUAGGGGUGGACAAAAAAGCUUGGGCUCGUGAGCUCGGCUCAAGCUUGGCUUGGGCUCGCAUAGCUCGGCUCGGCUCGAAAGCCAAACGAGCCAAGCCCAAGCCUCCUUCCUACCUCGUUUCCGAAACGACCCAAGCCCGAGCUGGCUCACGAGCCACUCGUGAGCUCGCUUGGCUUGGUACAAUAGGGUCAUAUGCAAAAAAAAAUUACACCUUUUCUAACUAUUUAUUUGUUGAAAAUUAUAACUUUGAUUGUCAUAUUAUCUAUUUAUGUGUUGUGAUGACAUAUUAAAGAAAAAUAUCGCUUUAUUACACAUUCUAUGUGGUAAAAUAUUGCUCAAUUUCUCCUAGUCUUGCUUGAGAUUUACUUGAUGCCAGGCUCGCUUGGCUCGGUACAAUAGGGUCAUAUGCAAAAAAAAUUACACCUUUUCUAACUAUUUAUUUGUUGAAAAUUAUAACUUUGAUUGUCAUAUUAUCUAUUUAUAUGUUGUGAUGACAUAUUAAAGAAAAAUAUCACUUUAUUACACAUUCUAUGUGGUAAAAUAUUGCUCAAUUUCUCUUAGUCCUGCUUGAGAUUUACUUGAUGCCAGGCUCGCGAGCUAGCUCGAGCUGGCUCGAGCCCAUAAACGAGCCGAGCCGAGCUGCAGUUUUAGCUCGUUGUUUGUAGCGAGCCAAGCCAAGCCGAGGUUCCCUUGCACCAAGCUUUCAUGAUUCCACCCCUACUCACUGGUGUGGCAGCGUUAUUUGGCCACGCGUGGCAGGAUAAAACCGUCACGUCCGCUACAGGUGGUGUGCCAGUGUCAUCUUGUCACACUAGAUGAGCUAGUGUGCCUAAAAGGUUCAAAUUUUAGAAAUAAUUUUGAAAGGGUUUGUUUUUAAAAUUUAAAAUUAAAAAGGUUCAAAAAAUUAAAAAAAAUCCCUAGCUUACACACCGGAAAUGAACUAGAAACUUAAAGGCAUGUGAGCUUCUAACGAGCACACGUUCCAUUAGGUAAUCUGGCAUAUGUGACAUAUAGUAAGGGCUCUAUUUUUUUAAUUAUUUGCUGGAUUAUUAAAAUAGAUUAUUUUCACCCAUCCCAUAGCUGGUGAAAACAUUCCCCACGCUGUUCCGAAUAACAAUGCCGACGCUACCAAUUUAUUUUCACCCAUCCCAUAGCUGGUGCCUGCCACACACCUGCCACUUGGGUUCUUUCCCCGCACCCAUUCACAUCACUUUGUCUUCCCUCCGACACAAUUUUUCCUUUCUCAUUUUCCAGCGUUGCACUGCCAGACGGGCACAAGGAAUUCCAUAGAUUCAGAAGGAAAGAUGCAGAGCCCUUUACCGUCGCUUGCCCAGAACCGAAGACACAGUCAUUACGCAGGUACCAAGCUCGCCAUAGGACAAGGAGAAACUGCGCCCGCUCGUUUUCGCUCAGCUUAUCGAGUCCCCCAAGAAGCCACCCUGGGCCUAGCUUCGACAGGGAACGCUUAUCCGGUAACCUCCAGCUCGCCCGCAGAGUUUCACGGAGGGCCCUUGGCCGGGUACAUGAAAUCACCGCGUGAAACUCGUCUUCCUCCCCCUGGCCGCAGAUAGUACAGGUCGCAACUGCUUGCAGCUUUCGUUUACACCUGUUCUUCUGGGUAGCCAGAUAAUUUCGGGCUAGACGCCAGGCGAAAAUACGGACCUUUGGUGGCACAGGUGUACUCCAAAUUCUUCGCCAGAUGGAGCGAUCACCGUCCGUUUCUCUACUACUGCCUUCUCCAUCCGGAUGGAACUUGUUCAGCCACGCUAAACGAUAAGCAGACCUCACCGAGAAAAUCCCUGAUUUUUCGUAGUGCCAAGCUAGGAAAUCCUCAUCCUGGUAUGGCGACAAAUUGAUUUUCAGGAUCUCUUCCACAUCAAGUGGGUGACAGACGUGCUUGAUCAGAUCAACGUCCCAGCUCUUUUCCCCUUGUUUCAGCAGCUGCGAGACCCAGCGAAGACGGCAGCGUCCGCUCCUUCCCAUAAGCAUGAGAGAGGAGGCUCGGGGAAUCCAUUUAUCCCGCCAAAUCCUGACCUUGGUCCCAUCCCCAAUUCGCCAUAUAAGUCCUGUCUUCAGCAACUGCAACCCAUGUUCAAUCCCUUUCCAUGUCGGAGACGCUUCAGCCGGGAAGACCGCAUCUACUAGUUCACAAUUAGGAUAAUACUUAGCUUUUAAUUAGGAUAUAUAUAUGUAUAUAUAUAUAUGUAUAUAUUGUAAUAUUCCAGUAUUCCACCCCCCCCCCCCCCCCCAACCCCAAAACAACAAAUCAGUUUUCAAGUUAAGCUCACUAGCAAAUCGACAAAAAAAAAAAGGGCAGUCCAGCAUAUAUAUAUAAACGUUCAUGCACAAUGUACAUGUACAUACGAAUUUAUUAGUUCUUUUUCUCAAUGUUCAGAUAAGUUUUGUUGAGUGAUAAAUAAUCACUGUACACUAUAUUGUUAUUUUUUUAAGGAAAUCUUUCAUCAUUGUUUGUACUGCAUCGAAGAGAAAAAUGGGUGUGUAAAUGCACAUUCUCUCGCGAGAGAUUAAAAUCCAUCUUCUAUUUUGCCUUUUUUUUCUCUAUAAUUUCUAGUGGAUAUCGAUUGAGAACAGCUAGAAAUUACUUAUAAGCAUAUUUUUCAUGGAUUCUAUUUAAGAUACAAAACUACUACACAUGGGUACAUGCUAACCAAGGUUUACAAAUGCAAAAGCGAAUAGAAAUUUGCUGUGCCGAGCUGUUUUUCAAAAAGAUUAUAUUCUUUUCUCCCAAAGAUGAAGAUGAAGAUUAAUUUUUUUCGUAAAACGAGGUGAUAUUAGCAUAUGAUUGAUUGAGUUUUAAUUAUAACAAACUUGAAAAUAGAUUAAUAUAAUAUUUUAGAACAACUUUCAUAUAGAAAGUUUCCACACGAAACGUACAGUUUAGCAGUUUGAAAAGCUUGCUACAAAAAUCUUAAUCUUCAUCCAACAAGAAGAACGGAACCUAAACGAUAGAUCUGAAUCCAUGACUUGAACAUGCAUGAACAGUACGGUGAGUUAAAGAGAUACAUUUCGAUCCAUGAUUUAAACAUACAUACAUAACUGGGUGCAGAUAUUUGGUCAUUAUUUAUUGUAUUUGUAAUUAUAUACGUACUCAUAAAAAUUAUUAAGAACGCAGUAAAUUCAUAAAAUUAAGCAGUUUUCAUGGCGAAUCUAAUAACAUUAUUUUCACAUAUAACAUUCGGAUAUUUUGCCUAUCAUGAGAUAGUUCGUAUAUCUAAAUUAAUCCCCAACGAUUUUCUAGCAGUGAUUCAGAUAUCACAGGCUAAUCUCGUAAUACAUAAAGAUGAUUAUGUUCAAAACAUGAUUUAGGUUAAAAAAAUUCCAAGCGAAUCCGUAAACUAUAUUCAUGUUUCAGAUAGCCGGCCUUUGGUUGAUUAUGAAAAACGAUUAUAUUAUUCACAUUUUAAAUAGUUUUGUGCUAUAGACAUGUAUAUGAAAGACAAAACGAGUUAAAGAAAACUUUUUUAGAAAAAAGAAACUGUGUGACCACGAUCUUGAUACAGGAAAAGUUUGAAUUAGUAUGUUCAAUUCUGUUCAUGUACAUUUGCUAUAUAUAUUAUUGCCUUCAUUUGCAAUUAUACUGAAUACUCGCUCGAGGAAUAAAUCGGUACAUGUACGCAUGCCUCUCAAUAAUUUGAAUGUGAAUUUGAGAGUACGUAGUUCAUCUCAUCAUAAUCAUCCACACCCAAAUAAAUUACUACAUUCCGAUUACUCAUAAAUAAUAGGUAAAACUAAUUUCAAUUUGACUUGAUUUCAUCAAUGGAUCUUCAAAUCAAAUCAAAUUUCAAACCCAUCCAUCAGCAGUUACCAAUCCUGCCAUCCCCGGCAUCGGUGAAGAACCUCUUCCAGAACCAAUGGCGGCGCCACACCGUGUCGACCAUCUCGUCGAUGGGCACCCCCUUCGUCUCCGGCAGCAGCCAGAAGACGAAGGCGGCCAUGAUAACGAUCCAGAUAGCGAAGAAGAAGAAGAUGAAGGCCUUCAUACUGCACAUCAUGGAGAGGAAGGCCUGCGCGAUGAGGAAGGUGAAGAGCAUGUUGGAGCUCACGGCGAAGGAGAACCCCGUCGUCCUCGUCGCCAGGGGGAAUGUCUCCGACGGGAUUAGCCACCCCAGGGGCCCCCACGACCACGCGAAGCUCGAGACGUAGACGCAGAUGAGCACCACGAUCGCCACCGCCCACUUCUCGCCCGGAUUGCCGUUCGCCUUCACGUGUUCCCACAUGAUCGCCCCCACCGCUGUCUGCCAUGGAUCUUUCAUGUUAGUUUGUAGAACUAAAGGAACGCGAAUGCUAAGAAAUGACCUAAUAUCAGAUAAUUAGAAGGGGUGAGGCUUCGAAUACAGGUCGUCCCCACCAUCUUGCGGAGCUAGCCGGAAAACCUCUUGCCGUUUUUUGGGUUUCUCGAACUGGGAGAGGACUUAUGUAAAAGUUUAUAUUAAAAAUUAAUAUAUGUUUCAAAAUUUAAAUGUGUAGUGUAUUUAAAAGGAAGUUAUAGUAAAAUUAUAUAAUAAAAAGAUAUAUUUAAGUGCAUCAUAUAUUUAAAAAGAAAAGGUAACAUAAACAUGUACUCCCUCCGUUUUUUUAAUAGAUGACGCCGUUGACUUUUUCUCACAUGUUUGACCAUUCGUCUUAUUUAAAAAAUUUACGUAAUUAUAAUUUAUUUUGUUUUGGGUUGUUUUAUCACUCACAGUACUUUAAGUGUGAUUUAUAUUUUAUACAUUUGCAUAAAAUUUUUGAAUAAGACGAAUGGUCAAACAUGUAAGAAAAAAUUAAUGGCGUCAUCUAUUAAAAAACGGAGGUAGUAGAAAAAACUAUAUUUUAAAAGCCAACUGUGUUAUAUAUUUAGAAAUAGAGAUAUAUAUACAAAUAUGUAAUAUGUUUAAAGGCUAAAUUGCUUCGUGUGUAAUAUAUGUAAUAUAUUACCUGUGCGAUGAGCAUUUGGCCGCAGGCCUGGAGGAGGAGCCUGCGGCGGCCGAUCUUGUCGACGGCGACGAUGGAGACGAGCGUGGAGACGACGUUGACGCCGCCGGUGACGACGGCGGAGAGCAGCGACCCGUUGCUCUUGAACCCCAUGGUCUGGAAUAGCACGGGCGCGUAGAACAUGAUGGCGUUGAUCCCCGUGAACUGCUGGAACACCUGCAUCGCCACCGCGAUCACCAGCGGCGGCCUCGACUCCCGCCGCCGCAGCCUCCGGUACGCCGACUCCUCCGCGCUCAGCGCCGCCGCCGCCUCGCAUGCGCGCGCGAUCUCGUCCAGCUCGUCGCCGACGUCGCGCGUGCCGCGGAUCCUCUCCAGCGUGGCGCGCCCGGCGUCGCGCCGCCCGCGCUCCACGAGGCUCGUCGGCGUCUCGGUGAUCACCAGCGAGCCCAGGAACAGCACCGCCGCGGGCACUCCGGCGCCGCCGAGGGAGUACCUCCACCCGGUGCUCGGGUGGGCGCUCGAGGUGAAGUAGUUGACGACGUUGGCGAUGAGGAUGCCGAUGGUGACGUCGAGCUGGAAGAGGAUGUUGAGCGCGCCGCGGAUGUGCGCCGGCGCGAUCUCCGACAGGAACAGCGGCGCCGCCUGGUUGCCGAACCCGACGCCGACGCCGAGGCAGAUCCUCCCCACGAUCAGCAUCGCCAGGUUCGCCGCGCCGGCGCACAGCGCCGUCCCGCCGAGGAAGAACACCGACGCGAGCUGCAUCGUGCGCCGCCGCCCCAGCCGCGUGCACAGCCUCGACGCCGCGAAGCUGGCGGCCAGCGCGGCGAGGUACAGCGACGAGGUGAACAGCUGCAGCCGCUGGUCGUCGAACUUGCAGUAGUUGUUCUCCCUCGCGCGGUGCUUCCGCGCGUACACCGACGGGAAGAACUUGAUCAGGAAGCCGUCCAUGGCGGUCACGCCGCCGGAGAUGCCGACGUCGUAGCCGAACAUGAGCCCGCUCGUCGCCGCGAUGAUGCCGCACAGCCACACGUACCACGUGAUCUUCCCCUUGAACUCCCGCCGCUCGCCGCCGCCGGCGACCUUGGCCUCGACGGCGAAACCACCCGCCAUUGAUGACGUCAACGACGACGACGAGAUCAAUCAAAUGGAGAUGAUGAGGAAGAAGAUGACCAAGAGGUGGUCGAGUAUAUAUAGAGGAUUUUAUUAAUGGAGAUAAGAUGUGGAUAAAUUGGAGUGAUCUCAUGCAUUCGCAUGCAGAUAAAAUAAAUUAAAAUUGAAUUGAAUUUGAAUUAAACUUGGUCAACGAACAGAUUAACUGAAGGGGUUUAAUUAAGCAGAUCGGAUUAGUUACUAGCUAGAACUAAUCAGGAUAGAGUUUUCCGGGGGGUUUUUUUGGGGGUUUUUUUCACACGGUGACGGUGACAUGCAUGCAGUUUAGGGGAGUUGGAUUAGUCCUUUUUUAAGGAAUUUAUAGUUGGAUUAAUGGUUAGGAGUAAUUAGGAUUAAUCGGAUCAGCCGAUCUCAACAGUGACCAGUUCUCCUGCGACAAGCCCGUUCGUUCUCUUGACACGUGGCACCAAUUCAUUCGCUCUCAAUCUAUUAAUGGUAAUUUAAUCUCCAACCCAAUCCAAAUGCAAAAAUUGAAAGAAAAAAAAACGCGUUUCUCACAAGAUGGACUGUUCCUGUGAUGACUAUUUUUGUCUCUACAGGCCGUCCUAAACUCGUAAAUAUAUUAUCUCUACCGUGUAUUUUAUUAUUUUUUUGAAAAAAAAAAGUAUGCACAAAAAUGGAUUUUGGCCAUUAAUUUAUCUCUAUUGAUUUUUGAAAAAACCUUUACAUGAUUUUUAUCUGUCGCUCUGUUCUGCUUAUGCCAAAGAUGGACGUUGUGCAAAAUUGAAUUGAUCAAGAGCAGCUUGUGCACAGUAAUUCUCUGUUGUAGUAUGCCUUUUGCCUCGAAACUGAUUAAAACAGAACCCAAAAUAAAGAGCAUGAGUUAACUAAAGAAAGUUAACCCGUAAUCUUGAUGCUAUAGCAUGCUUCAAAAUUAUACCCUCGAAUGCUAAAAAAAUAGUACUCCCUCCGUUUCAUAAUGUAAGUCAUUCUAGCAUUUCCCAUAUUUAUUUUGAUACCAAUAAAUCUAGACAUAUAUAUCUAUCUAGAUUCAUUAGCAUAAAUAUAAAUGUGGGAAAUGCUAGAAUGACUUACAUUGUGAAACUGAGAAAGUACAGGUAAUAAUCAUCACUUAUAUUUGUCGAAGAACAAUAUGAAAAGAAAGCUAUCAAGCAGGUGCCUUAUUGCAAAGUUACAAUACACACUGGCGAAUGAACUGCAAACUUAACUUAUGUGUCACUAACAACUUAGAAACGAGCAAACAAAAACCAGUCAGUUCAUCGUCUUAGACUAAAACAGGCACCCUGCAGACAAGUGCCUUGAUCAAACGGUUUUUACACGGCAAACCAACAGACGAAAAUUCACCAGUUAAACACAUUUCAGCAUCUCUUCGUACGCAUAAGAACUCUUCAAGCUUCUGAGCUUCAUCAGGUGUUUCUUUGACCGCCAUAAUGUUUCUUUCAAACUCCUCGCCUUAUCUCUGCGAAUUCACACAUAAUAUGAGCUUAGGGAAACAUUGCAGAAGAUAUUGGCCAUGUUUUAAUUGGCUGGCGAAAAUCGUAUGCUACCUGAAAUGUGGUUCUGGGAGCUCAUUCUGAGAUAGGCUUGCGAACCAAAAAGAAGUACAUCGGCGUGAAGAUUUCCUUCCUGUAGUUAAUAUAUUUGCAUUAGAACUUUGCAUGAAGUAUUAAACAGGAGAGGAAAUGGAAAAACAGACAGCUGAACUGGAAUUCCAGAAUUCGUGACAAUUAUGUUGCUUUUCUGAUUCCUGGUGCUGAAAUAUGAAUCAGAGACAGACUUACUUGCCACCUUCGACGAGACCUUCAGCUGCCUUCUCUAAAAAGUUAGAUACCCUUUCACUUCCUUGUGGGGCAAGGCCGACGUAUUCCAAUGCCUUCACCUAAAAAAUAACAGAAGAGGAUCUCAAUUCCAUUUCCAUGCGAAUCAAGAGUGAAUAUAUACCAUGAUUAAAUCAGGCUGUUAUGGCCAGUUACAGUGGACAAAGCAGCCUGAUCUUUGAAUAUUCAGUGUAACAAAGUUUUGAUCGAAUUUACCAUACAAGCAAUUUAGCACAUCUGCUGAGCAGAUUAUGUCAAGUCUACCCGAAAUUUGAUACUUCUAGAAAAAAAAUAGUAUAGUACUUUUAAACUUUGCUAGCUAUUAGUAUAAUUGUUUGUUUUAUUUAUUGUAAAUGUCCAAAGAAUGACUUUUCUAGCUAGCCCUGGUAGAACUUCUAUAGGUUUUCAUGUUACAUAAACUAUUACAUGAACCAUUGUUCUCAAAACCACUUUUAAAGGCAGCAGGGAACCUAAAACUUCAUUAAUUAUUUUCCACCACAAGAUUGGUGUGCCCCCGAAUGUUCAUUGGUAUUAGGCCACAUGUCACUGAAACAAUGGAGUGGCACUAAAAUGCACCCUCUUUGGGAUGCCAACUCCUCAAUUUUAAGCUUUUUUCUGUUCAGAGGGAGGAAUUUGAUAAGAAAGAAUGUCUAUAGUACGCUUUACUCCAAGGGACAAAUCAAACUUGAUUUCACUGUGCAUCUUGAACAAUCAACUCAGAACAUAAGGUGUAGCAACAAUAAAGAAUGACUACAGAUGUAUCUGUUGGCCUUACCAUUGUGCGAGUAAUUGCACGCCCCACAGUAGUCAGACGGAAGCUACUCAAGGAAAACCGGCUUGGAUCCAAGGGCAGGUACCAAGGAACCGGGGAAUCUUCAGCAAGGUCUUUAUCCCAAAUAACCUUCACAGAAAAAAAAAUUAUGCCCAUGGGAAAGGAAUAACAAAUAACAGAAGUGUUCAUGAAACUGUGCUGCUUUGAAAGAAAACUGCUGUAACUGGCCAGAGUUUCUAAACUAACAAUAGAGGUGGGCUACUCUUCCAGCCAUGGGUUUUCCUCAGGUAAACCCAAACACACAAUCAAACAAAAGAGAGGUAAAGCACAGCGUCUACAUUACCUCAAACCCAGCAUCUUUUGCAGCUUGAAGACAUUGUUGAGUGCUUCGGAUAUCUGGCAGGCCAUUGCCAAGCUCGAUUUCAUCCUUGAUCCUCUUGUGUGUUGCAUUGUUCGGUUCAUAGUGAUCAGUAAUACACCACUCAUACACAGCAAAACACUGGCCAGGCUUCAAUACACGAUAGAUCUCCUUAUAGCAGCCAACCUUUGACAUGAAAAAACCAAUUGACUUUGUGUCGCAAGGAGGGAUUAAAGUUGAUGAUGAGUUUUAAUAUACAAGCAAUAAUUUGCAAUCAUACCGGAUCAGGUGCGUGGCAUGUUGCCUCAAUGGCAUAGACAGCAUCAAAAGUGUUAUCAGAAAACGGCAUCUUCAUGAAGUCUGCCUGUAUAGAGACCAAUAUGUAGAAUGUAACUGUUUGUCCUUCAGCUUAUAUAUAUUGUCAAAUAAGUCUUCUCUGUACAGCUAAGCAAGUGCAGAGAGUCUACGCAAGGUAAUUUGCAAUAUGUGAUGGUUGCUGGAAAGGGAUAAAUAACAUUUGCACAGAGAUGCAGCUGCAAAUAGAUGAUUGACUACUAAAAGAUGGGGGAAAGAGGCAAAGAGCCAAAAAGAAUGUCUAUUUUAGCUAACUAUACCUUCACAAAGUCGCAAGUUCCACUAACUCCUGCUACCCGAUUAAGCUCCUGGAUAUUAAAACAAAAAUCUUAUGUCAACACAGGAGUAAUGUGAUGAACAGCAAACGCUGAAAACUGUUUACUAAUCUGAAGUUCUUAACCAUAUGCAGAAGUAGAGUAAAUCAAAUUAAGUAAGGGAACAUCAAUUAACCUUUCCCCUAGUUAUCUGGUACUCAUUGUUGUUCAAUCCAGUGACUGAAGCCAAGCUGCAGGAAACAGCAGAUCAUGGCCACAUUAGUCAUCUCUAGUUCAUAAUCCAUAGUGAGGGGAAAAAAAGAGAAGUUUCCACACUUUUGAGGACAGUAUUUUAGCAGAAAAUGGAUCAUCAACACUGAUAUUUGGGAAAAAGAAAUGCCCUAAGUAAACAAUGAGCUCAAUGCCAUCUUCACCCAAAAAAAUAACAUAUAAUGAGGAAGUACAGGGUUGAUACUUAACGACGUUGUCCUGGCACCAUUAUCCAAGAUCAAUUUACCACACGUUUAAUUUUUAAAUGUCAAAUAUUUAUUAUGCAUAUUAAAAUUUCUGGCCCAAACACAUUACAAGCAAGUGGACAGAAGGCCCAUGAAUCAAACCUAAAUUUGGCAAUUUCUCUUAGUGGUCCGCCUAUUCCACAACCGACGUCCAAAACCUACAGUAGGGAAGUGAAGUUAACACUUUCAUUCUAAUGUUGUAGUGUAGAACCAGCAGGAAAUCUUUAUGAUAGGUUUAAAUAGGAAAAUUAACCUUCAUUCCUGGUUUCACUCCAAGCUGAAGGGCAAGAAAGUGCUCAUGUCGCUUAAUGCUUUCACGUAGGGAUUCUCCAUUCCAUCUAAAACAUUCAGGAACAUGACAAGUUUCUGUCACUAGAUGUCAGGUAAUAUGCAAAACUUCAACUACGUUCUCGUAUUUCAUUACAAUGAGCACAGAUGAUCUCUCUAAAACCCUCACCUGUGAGCAAAGUGGAAGGAUUCACCCCAACCAUACUCAUAGAAGCUGGUGGCAAGAUCAUAGUAUUUAUUAACCUGAUAAGGCAUUAAUGCAUUAGUUGCUAAUAUAAAAACUGAAAAACCCAAAAUUAUCUCCAAUUAGCAUGGGGUAAAUGGGUGAUGCAGCAAACAAAAAAUUGUCACAAACUCUAAAUUUGAAGGUUUCCUUCUUUCAAACAGAAUAAAGAGGGGUUCAAUUAGAAAUAUGUGACUAAAAUACAAUUGACAUAUAGCAUAAACAGCAGAACCUAGAAUAUGUGUACUGUCUUGCUUCAACACUCAACAUGACAAUUUAAAAAGCACAAUAUUUGAGUUGUCUUAGAUAUCUCUUUGAAUCAGUCGUGCUUAGUUAAAUUUAUAAUCUAGUCAAGAAGAACUGAAGAUUAACAGCUUUUUAUCGUGCAAAAGUUGAAGCAAAUUACAGACAAACAGUUGAAGCAAAUUAUGCAGAUAUAAUCCUUUUAACUGAGCAUCUAGAAAAUGACUUGAGUAGGAAAGCAACAAAUUUACAAAAUAAGAUAUUCACAAAAAUGUAAUAAUUCUGUCUUCUGAGAGACUAAGAUGAUUUACCAUGUCUGUGUAGUUGGACUUUCUUGCUUCUUCUUUUCCUCCAUAGUAUCCAUGGUAUUUCUCAUACCUUGCAAAACCAAUUUAUUUAAAAUAAAUAACAGUAAAAUACAGGCCAAGUUCUGAGCACAAAAAUCCUUUUUCUGAGUGUCAAUAAAAUUCUUGCUAAGCAGUUGAUAUGUUUUUUAUACAGGGUAAAUAUUGAAUGUAUUGACAAAUUCUUAAUAGAAUGUGCUAAAACUGGCAUAGAUAGAGAUAGUUUAAAAGAGGAUAAGCUUGUUUUAAUAAUUCUGUAAUGGUGCCACAGUAUGUACUCCUUUCCUUGAUUAACCAUAGAGCAUAGUUUGACCUUGCACGAGAAAUCAAGGAUUAAAGAGGUGACAAAGGUGAUGAAACAUUAGAGAAGAUGACGUGGGUGCACUCUCAUUAUUGAUUCAGAAAGAUGAGCGAGCAUACUUUGUGGCAGUAACAAAUAAAAGCAAAUGAGAAGGAGUAAAAGACAUGGGAAUGGUAGAAAAAGCUCAUAUCUUAUAUUUAUUGCUGGGUCUUUGGAAUAUUAAUGGGAGGGGAGUACAAUACGUAUGGACAAGUUGGCAUGGCUUGAAGUAGCCUAUAUAGUGAUGGCCUGAUGGGCGACCACAAAGCAUCACAUUCAAUACACAUGAUAAAAACCUAGUACUAUUCUAAUAAGAUGAAAUAGGUGCAAUGCAUCAGGAGUUUUCAGAUGUCCAGAACUGCUACCACCAAAAAAGAAGAAGAAAAUUUCUGGGUGCAGAACGAAAAGUCGAGCAAACAACAGUGAGAAAUUACGAAAUCAGUGAAUCUGUGCUUUCCUUGUUUAAUCUCAGUCAUACAAACUGAAUUCUGAACCCUGAACUCUGAAGAGAUGCAUUCAAGUACAGCACAGCAGACAUGCAAGUACAGUACAUCACCAGAAUCAAACCUGCAUAUCUAAAUCUAAAUCUAAAUGCCAACAAAAAUAAAAGAGAGAGAGAAAAUAAUAAUCAACCAACGCAGAGAAACAAAGAGCAGAAGAUGCUUUAC